Molecule: long non-coding RNA, 321 nt
Organism: Cornus florida
Lineage: Eukaryota; Viridiplantae; Streptophyta; Magnoliopsida; Cornales; Cornaceae
Exons: 2
Source: RefSeq, a predicted model, not a curated record
AAUUAGAGAGAGAGAGACAGAAGAGAAAAAUUAGAGAAGAUUGAGAGAGGGCCGAGAUUGAGGAUACAGAGUGAGUUGAGAGAGAGAAAUAGAGGAGCCAAGAGUUGCAGAGAGGUCCGAGAGUUUACAAAGGAGGUCUUGGAGCUUGAGGCUAUGAUGAUCCAAUGAGGAAAAUUCUUUUUCAGGGGUUGGGAAAGGAAAUAGUGAAUGCCGAUCCCUUUCAAGCAUGAAGAGAACUAAAGAUCUAUUUUGAUACCUUUUGUGUUUUGGUUAAAUUUUUGUAAAGUCUCAAAUUAUGGAAAAGAGUAUUAAUUUAUUUUA